Molecule: ribosomal RNA, 402 nt
Filed under: bacterium
Lineage: Bacteria
Description: partial 16S ribosomal RNA
Rfam family: Bacterial small subunit ribosomal RNA
Source: RNAcentral
UGGGGAAUUUUGCACAAUGGGGGAAACCCUGAUGCAGCGACGCCGCGUGAUUUAGAAGGCCUUCGGGUUGUAAAAAUCUUUUUUACGGGAAGAAAAUGACAGUACCGUAAGAAUAAGGUCCGGCUAAAUACGUGCCAGCAGCCGCGGUAAUACGUAUGGACCGAGCGUUGUCCGGAAUCAUUGGGCGUAAAGGGUACGUAGGCGGCCUAGUUAGUAAGAAGUGAAAUAAUAUAGCUCAACUAUAUAAAGCUUUUAAAACUGAUAGGCUUGAGAGGUGGAAGGGAAAGUGGAAUUCCUAGUGUAGCGGUGAAAUGCGCAGAUAUUAGGAAGAAUACCGGUGGCGAAGGCGACUUUCUGGUCAUCAUCUGACGCUGAGGUACGAAAGCGUGGGUAGCAAACAGG